RNAcentral lists this ribosomal RNA (200 nucleotides) under uncultured bacterium. Its description in RNAcentral is "partial 16S ribosomal RNA". It matches the Rfam family "Bacterial small subunit ribosomal RNA", at positions 29 to 258 of the family's 1533-position model. The record is from RNAcentral.
AACGAACGCUGGCGGCAGGCUUAACACAUGCAAGUCGAACGCUCCGCAAGGAGAGUGGCAGACGGGUGAGUAACGCGUGGGAAUCUACCUGAUACUACGGAACAACAGAGGGAAACUUCUGCUAAUACCGUAUACGCCCUACGGGGGAAAGAUUUAUCGGUAUCAGAUGAGCCCGCGUAAGAUUAGCUAGUUGGUGGGGU